GGAGAUUACUGCUAUUGGAGUUUGACUAAGCCAUGCGAGUCAGAGGUUUUAUUAUACUGGCAGAAGGCUGAGUAUCACGUAGUCAACCUGCCCUUGAGUCAGGCAUAUCCUCGGGAAACUGAGGUUAAUUCCUGAUAUGAAAUAUUUUCUGGAAUGAAAUAUUUUGCAAAGUUACGACGCUCAAGGAUGGGACUGCGGUGGAUUAGGUUGUUGUUGGGGUAAUGGCCCAACAAACCGAUAAUCUAUAGGGGCUGUGAGAGCAGUGGCCCCCAGAUGGAUUCUGAGGCACGAAUCCAGACCCUACGGGGUGCAGCAGGCGCGGAACCUUCACAAUGCACUAUGUGUGUGAUGGGGAGACUCCAAGUGAUAGCAUAACGCUAUCUUUUGAAAAGUUAAAACAUCUUUUCGAAUAGGUGGUGGGUAAGACGGUUGCCAGCCGCCGCGGUAAUAACCGCGCCACAAGUGGUAAUCUCGAUUAUUGGGUCUAAAGCAUCCGUAGCCGGUGCUAUAAGUUUUCUGUGAAAUCCGAAUGAAAACAUUUGGGCGUGCAGAAAAUACUGUAGCACUUGAGACUGGGAGGAGCAAGAGGUACUCGAGGGGAAGGGGUAAAAUCCGUUAAUCCCUCGGGGGUCACCAGUGGCGAAGGCGUCUUGCUAGAACAGGUCUGACGGUGAGGGAUGAAAGCCAGGGGAGCGAAGAGGAUUAGAUACCCUUGUAGUCCUGGCUGUAAACGAUGCUCGUUAGGUAUUGGGGUUUUUACGAGAAACUUCAGUGCCGUAGGGAAGCCGUUAAACGAGCCACCUGGGGAGUACGGUCGCAAGGCUGAAACUUAAAGGAAUUGGCGGGGGAGCACACAAGGGGUGACGUCUACGGUUCAAUUGGACUCAACGCCGGGAACCUUACCAGAGGUGACAGCAGUAUGAUGGUCAGCUUAAAGAGCUUACCUGACGCGCUGAGAGGUAUUGCAUGGCCGACGUCAGCUCGUGCCGUGAGGUGUGCGGUUAAGUCCGUAAACGAGCGAGACCCGCGCUCUUAAUUGCUAGCGAAAGCAUGCACUUUAAGAGGACCGCUGGCGAUAAGUCAGAGGAAGGUGCGGUCAACGUUAGGUCAGUAUGGUCCGAAUCUUCUGGGCUACACGUGGGCGGCAAUGACAGGGACAAUUGGUUGCGACACCGAAAGGUGAAGCCAAUCCCCUAAACCCUGUCUCAGUACGGAUUGAGGGCUGCAACUCGCCCUCAUGAUGGCGGAAUCCCUAGUAGUCGAGUAUUAGCACUGCUCGGCGAAUACGUCCCUGCUCCUUGCACACACCGCCCGUCAAACCACCUGAAUUGAUUUUGGAUGAGGGUCUUUCAUUGAAAGAUUCGAAUCUAAUUUCGGUAAGGGGGGUU
Molecule: ribosomal RNA, 1388 nt
Filed under: uncultured archaeon
Lineage: Archaea
Description: bacterial SSU rRNA
Rfam family: Archaeal small subunit ribosomal RNA
Source: RNAcentral